CACCAAUCAAGCCUGGCUUGGUAUUGGGCCGCGGGGGCGACCCGGGUCUCAAAGUCCCCGGCUGGAAAGCUCUGAUCUCAGCGUCGUGGUUAAUCAAUUCGCCGACGAGAGGAGUGGUCCACGCCGUGAAAUUCUAUCACA
This 141-nucleotide unclassified non-coding RNA is filed under the name uncultured Capnodiales. RNAcentral describes it as "sequence contains ITS2". The record is from RNAcentral. Lineage: Eukaryota; Fungi; Ascomycota; Dothideomycetes; Capnodiales.